Molecule: transfer RNA, 72 nt
Filed under: Tetrahymena thermophila
Lineage: Eukaryota; Ciliophora; Oligohymenophorea; Hymenostomatida; Tetrahymenidae
Description: cytoplasmic tRNA-Tyr (QFA)
Rfam family: tRNA
About the family: Transfer RNA (tRNA) molecules are approximately 80 nucleotides in length.
Source: RNAcentral
CCAAAUUUAGCUCAGUUGGAAGAGCGUCGGACUGUAAAUCCUUAGGUCCCGGUUCGAACCCGGGAGUUUGGA